Molecule: ribosomal RNA, 497 nt
Filed under: uncultured bacterium
Lineage: Bacteria
Description: partial 16S ribosomal RNA
Rfam family: Bacterial small subunit ribosomal RNA
Source: RNAcentral
GAUGAACGCUGGCGGCGUGCCUAAUACAUGCAAGUCGAGCGAACAGACGAGGAGCUUGCUCCUCUGACGUUAGCGGCGGACGGGUGAGUAACACGUGGAUAACCUACAUAUAAGACUGGGAUAACUUCGGGAAACCGGAGCUAAUACCGGAUAAUAUAUUGAACCGCAUGGUUCAAUAGUGAAAGACGGUUUUGCUGUCACUUAUAGAUGGAUCCGCGCCGCAUUAGCUAGUUGGUAAGGUAACGGCUUACCAAGGCGACGAUGCGUAGCCGACCUGAGAGGGUGAUCGGCCACACUGGAACUGAGACACGGUCCAGACUCCUACGGGAGGCAGCAGUAGGGAAUCUUCCGCAAAGGGCGAAAGCCUGACGGAGCAACGCCGCGUGAGUGAUGAAGGUCUUCGGAUCGUAAAACUCUGUUAUUAGGGAAGAACAAAUGUGUAAGUAACUAUGCACGUCUUGACGGUACCUAAUCAGAAAGCCACGGCUAACUACGUG